Molecule: ribosomal RNA, 536 nt
Filed under: Alternaria sp. OSHL-5.2
Lineage: Eukaryota; Fungi; Ascomycota; Dothideomycetes; Pleosporales; Pleosporaceae
Description: eukaryotic LSU rRNA
Rfam family: 5.8S ribosomal RNA (bases 161-314)
Source: RNAcentral
AAGGGCCCCGGGUCUGGCACCUCUCGGGGUUACAGCCUUGCUGAAGUAUUCACCCUUGUCUUUUGCGUACUUCUUGUUUCCUUGGGGGGUUCGCCCACCACUAGGACAAACAUAAACCUUUUGUAAUUGCAAUCAGCGUCAGUAACAAAUUAAUAAUUACAACUUUCAACAACGGAUCUCUUGGUUCUGGCAUCGAUGAAGAACGCAGCGAAAUGCGAUAAGUAGUGUGAAUUGCAGAAUUCAAUGAAUCAUCGAAUCUUUGAACGCACAUUGCGCCCUUUGGUAUUCCAAAGGGCAUGCCUGGUCGAGCGGCAUUUGUACCCUCAAGCUUUGCUUGGUGUUGGGCGUCUUGUCUCUAGCUUUGCUGGAGACUCGACUUAAAGUAAUUGGCAGCCGGACUACUGGUUUCGGAGCGCAGCACAAGUCGCACUCUCUAUCAGCAAAGGUCUAGCAUCCAUUAAGCCUUUUUUUCAACUUUUGACCUCGGGAUCAGGUAAGGAUACCCGCUGAACUUAAGCAUAUCAUAACCGAAGAAA